This 429-nucleotide ribosomal RNA is filed under the name Actinomycetes bacterium. RNAcentral's name for it is "Actinobacteria bacterium partial 16S ribosomal RNA". It matches the Rfam family "Bacterial small subunit ribosomal RNA", at positions 355 to 776 of the family's 1533-position model. Lineage: Bacteria; Bacillati; Actinomycetota; Actinomycetes. The record is from RNAcentral.
UAGGGAAUCUUCCGCAAUGGGCGAAAGCCUGACGGAGCAACGCCGCGUGAGUGAUGAAGGUCUUCGGAUCGUAAAACUCUGUUAUUAGGGAAGAACAAAUGUGUAAGUAACUAUGCACGUCUUGACGGUACCUAAUCAGAAAGCCACGGCUAACUACGUGCCAGCAGCCGCGGUAAUACGUAGGUGGCAAGCGUUAUCCGGAAUUAUUGGGCGUAAAGCGCGCGUAGGCGGUUUUUUAAGUCUGAUGUGAAAGCCCACGGCUCAACCGUGGAGGGUCAUUGGAAACUGGAAAACUUGAGUGCAGAAGAGGAAAGUGGAAUUCCAUGUGUAGCGGUGAAAUGCGCAGAGAUAUGGGGGAACACCAGUGGCGAAGGCGACUUUCUGGUCUGUAACUGACGCUGAUGUGCGAAAGCGUGGGGAUCAAACAGG